CAAAGGGACCACACCAAAAAUGAUUAACAAUAUAGGCAAACCAGAACCCAAUGAAAAAGACAUUUACACAACACUUUAAUAAUGGGGGACCACAUGCCAACCGAAAACGAAACAUUAUACAACAUGCAACAUUAUCGGACAAGCAUAAAAGGAAAAAAUCUUAAAAAACUUCAAUGAAAAGCAAAUUUACUAACCUUUCUCCACGAACACUUUCACUACGAACACUUUUGCCACUGUCUUCCACGUGCUUCACCGACAAUACCUUCUCGAUUCCCCCAAAAAUAGCACCGAUUGAUCACUCAGAAAUGUUAAAAAGAAACCAAUUUACUCACCAAUUAUUCCAAAUACCAACUAUCUACCCAAUUGUCCCCCAAAGUCCAACCAUAAACCCAACCCUCGAGAAAACCCUAUUCUCCCAAUUAUCCCCAAUUAUCACCCAGUUAGAGUUAUUCUCCCCAAUUAUCCCCAGGUCAGACUUACCUAAACACUAAUCACCUCUUUUUUUUUUUUUUAAUUGAAACGUGCGUUUUGAUAUGAAGUAAUCAAUUUUAAAUAUAAAAAUGAUGAAAAGCCAUGUAACAUGACCAACGUCUGCCACGUCAAGAACACUUCAUCUUGUCACCAACCCACGUUUCAAUUUUUGUAACGCC
This 650-nucleotide long non-coding RNA is filed under the name Vigna radiata. RNAcentral's name for it is "long non-coding RNA (VRAD_LNC010260)". Lineage: Eukaryota; Viridiplantae; Streptophyta; Magnoliopsida; Fabales; Fabaceae. The record is from RNAcentral.